CAGUCCAUUAAUCAAACACAUCACGCCAGAUCCCCUUCUUCUUCCCCACGCACGAGGGCGCCGCCGCCGCCGCCGCCACCUUCCUUGCAGAGUCUGCGACCAAAGGAGGAGGACCUUGAGGCCUUCUACCGCCGCUUCCUCAGAGAAAUGAGCGAAACAUUAAGCUUGUUGCAGGGAUUAACGACUACUCAAUACUCUAUUCAACGGCUACUGAGGCGGCGAAUCUUUUCAGAUUAUCCGACCAGCCGAGGCCUGGCGUAGCGCUGCCUUAAAAAAACACAUUUUAUAAGAAAAUAGUAAUUUUAGAUGUGUUCAGUUUUUUCAGUUUUUCCUAUUUCUACAAGCCAGCGGGGGCGCGCAUGUUCUUCCACUUGGGUUGGUAUCUCCCUCCUCCUAUCCAUUAGCUCCCUCCAUUGUUGUACCUUGGUUCAUGAUGCCGCACCGUAUGUCUGUAUCUUUUGAACUGAGCAGCGUCGGAACAAUCUCUGUCAGGCAUCGGAUCCUCUGAACUUGUAAGCAAUCCAUGUACAGCUGCUCAUUUCGUGUUAUUGUUUUACAUGA
Molecule: long non-coding RNA, 561 nt
Organism: Hordeum vulgare subsp. vulgare (domesticated barley)
Lineage: Eukaryota; Viridiplantae; Streptophyta; Magnoliopsida; Poales; Poaceae
Exons: 2
Source: RefSeq, a predicted model, not a curated record